RNAcentral lists this ribosomal RNA (253 nucleotides) under uncultured bacterium. Its description in RNAcentral is "partial 16S ribosomal RNA". It matches the Rfam family "Bacterial small subunit ribosomal RNA", at positions 524 to 776 of the family's 1533-position model. The record is from RNAcentral.
UGCGUAGGGUGCAAGCGUUGUCCGGAAUUACUGGGCGUAAAGGGCUCGUAGGCGGCCAACUAAGUCGGAUGUGAAAUCCCCAGGCUUAACCUGGGAACUGCAUCCGAUACUGGAUGGCUUGAGUCCGGGAGAGGGAUGCGGAAUUCCAGGUGUAGCGGUGAAAUGCGUAGAUAUCUGGAGGAACACCGGUGGCGAAGGCGGCAUCCUGGACCGACACUGACGCUGAGGAGCGAAAGCCAGGGGAGCAAACGGG